UAGGGAAUCUUCGGCAAUGGACGGAAGUCUGACCGAGCAACGCCGCGUGAGUGAAGAAGGCUUUCGGAUCGUAAAGCUCUGUUGUAAGAGAAGAACGAGUGUGAGAGUGGAAAGUUCACACUGUGACGGUAUCUUACCAGAAAGGGACGGCUAACUACGUGCCAGCAGCCGCGGUAAUACGUAGGUCCCGAGCGUUAUCCGGAUUUAUUGGGCGUAAAGCGAGCGCAGGCGGUUAGAUAAGUCUGAAGUUAAAGGCUGUGGCUUAACCAUAGUAGGCUUUGGAAACUGUUUAACUUGAGUGCAAGAGGGGAGAGUGGAAUUCCAUGUGUAGCGGUGAAAUGCGUAGAUAUAUGGAGGAACACCGGUGGCGAAAGCGGCUCUCUGGCUUGUAACUGACGCUGAGGCUCGAAAGCGUGGGGAGCAAACAGGAUUAGAUACCCUGGUAGUCCACGCUGUAAACGAUGAGUGCUAGGUGUUAGACCCUUUCCGGGGUUUAGUGCCGUAGCUAACGCAUUAAGCACUCCGCCUGGGGAGUACGACCGCAAGGUUG
Molecule: ribosomal RNA, 550 nt
Filed under: uncultured bacterium
Lineage: Bacteria
Description: bacterial SSU rRNA
Rfam family: Bacterial small subunit ribosomal RNA
Source: RNAcentral